Long non-coding RNA from Diceros bicornis minor, 406 nucleotides. RefSeq lists it as uncharacterized. The record is from RefSeq and is a predicted model, not a curated record. The transcript has 2 exons. Lineage: Eukaryota; Metazoa; Chordata; Mammalia; Perissodactyla; Rhinocerotidae.
CACUCCCAAAGAAACCGCUGGAAUUCAGUGCCUUUUUGCAGGGUCUGCGUCUGAGGGAGCUUGAACCCAGACCCGGUGAUCGGGGAUAUUGAAGGCAUCAAUAUAAAGGCCUCCUGUUUCCAGUCCAUUUUCCAGUUGAAAGGGCUUUCUGGGAACUAGAAUGUUGGCAGCACCCUGUCUACAGUCGACUUUGGAAACAGGGCACCGUGAGUCGCUCUCCACUAAGAGGCUGUGAAAGUUCACGAAAAAUCCUGCUCUCAUCAGUCCUUGGGUUAGAAAAUGUGCCUCCCGUCCAGAGCAUGAUGACUAAUACCUUAGGUCUGUGAUGCUGGUGACAGGGGCUUGUUUUAUUGUUUUAUUCUCUAAAUUGGGAAAUGUAAAUAAAGCCCAAGUGUACUAUGCUCAA